RNAcentral lists this unclassified non-coding RNA (239 nucleotides) under uncultured Tomentella. Its description in RNAcentral is "partial internal transcribed spacer 2". The record is from RNAcentral. Lineage: Eukaryota; Fungi; Basidiomycota; Agaricomycetes; Thelephorales; Thelephoraceae.
AACACCUCAACCUCUCUUUUUGACAAAAAAAGAGAGGGUGGACUUGAGCUAUCCCAACGACCUUCACCGGUAGGCGGGCGGCUUGAAAUGCAGGUGCAGCUGGACUUUUAUCUGAGCUAAAAGCAUAUCUAUUUAGUCCUCGUCAAACAGGAUUAUUACUAUUGCUGCAGCUAACAUAAAGGAUAAUUGUCCUCAUUGCUGACUGAUGCAGGAUUUUACGACACUUUAUGUGUUGUUCA